CCCAACUUAAAACACUCAAUUUAGUAUAUAUUCUAUAUUUAAUAUUAUAUUUAUUUACGCUAUAUAUUAUAUUAAAAGCAUACACCUUUUAACAUUGAUAGGUAGUUACUUUUGCGAAGGGUUGUAACUUUUUUUAUAGAGUUGUGACUUUUUGAUGAGUUAUGACAUUUCUGAAAAGUUGUGAUUUUUCUGUAGGGUUGUGACUCAUCUGAAAAGACAGGAUAAAUAACUUUUCAUACUAUCCUUUGUUGUCUAUAAUUGAGGGGGUUUCUCAAACUACGAAUUUUGUAAGUUUUCUAUUCUUCUUCUUAAAACAAGGAAGGUUGUGAGAGUUGUUCAAUUAUGCUAUUAUAAUAUUUUUUGUUGGUAAAUUAGAUAGAUCAACAAAAAUUAAAGCAACAAGAAGAAUCUUGAAAUAACUCAACUUCAAACGAGAAGAGUAUCUUGAUAAUUAAUAUGUACUCAUUUUCAUUGCCAUAAAAUAUACUUUUGCAGCAACUUCUACUUGACAAUAAGUUCAACGAUUUUUCGUUGCACAAAUAAUAACUUGGUGUUCAGAAGUCUUCAACUGUUGGAGAAAAAAUAUUUGAUCAAAUACUUUUUUGAAGAGUCCAAAGUACAUUUAAUAAGUACUCUUUUGUUUCCAAUUUAUUUAUUGUACUUUUAUUUUUCUUCUGUUUAAUGUAGAAUGUUAUUUUUUCUUGGGGGUAGGCGCAUCUUUAAGACCACAAAGUUGAAAAACAUUUUUAUAUAUUCUACAUAUGAUCUUUAAAAGAAAAGUCUUCUUUAUUUUUUAAAAAUUUCAUAUCAAAAUAAAAUUAGACCAAUCUAUAUCUAUCUUUUUUUAUCUAUCUAUACUACCUUAAAAGAAUGAACUACUUAACUUAAAUGUUAAAUUAUUAUAAUACCCCAAACUCAAAACACCAAAUGUAGUAGAUCUUCUAUAUUUUAUAUUGUAUUAUAUUUAUUUAUGUGUAUUAUAUUAUAUUAUAUUAUAUUAACGACAAUCAUGUUUUCACAUUGAAGGGUUGUAACAUUUUCGAAGAAUUAUAAUUUUUUGAUGAAUUGUGACCUUUUUGAAGGGUUGUGACUUUUCUAAAGGGUUGCGACUUUUCCAAAGAGUUGUGACUUUUCUGAGGGGGGCAACUUUACCGAAGAGUUAUGACUUUUCCGAUGAGUUGUGACCUUUUUGAAGGGCUGUGACAUUUCUAAAGGGUUUUGACUUCUUUUUUAUAAGGCACAAUACGAAGUUUCUAAUAUACUACCCUUUGUUGGCUAUAAAAAGAGGGGCUUCCUCAAAUGUUUAAACUAUGAGAAAGGGAAGAGAAAGUAUAUUUAAGAGGUGUAACUAAGAGAUUUUAAGAGUGACUAAUUUUUUAUUUAAUAAUAUUCGCAUUAUCUUUUAAAAUAGUGUGGUGGUAAAUGGUUUGAUAUUCACGAGCAACGCAUGUGCGUCAAAACUAGUACCAUUAAAAGCAUGAACUCCCUAACUUAAAUGUUAAGUUACGAUAAUACCCCCAACAUAAAACACUCAUUUUAGUAUAUAUUCUGUAUUUUAUAUUAUAUUUAUUUAUUUAUUUAUUUAUUUGUUCUGUUCUAUAUUAUAUUAAAAGCAGACAAUUUUUCACAUUGAUGGGAGUGACUACUCCAAAGGGUUAUAAACUCCCUAACUUAAAUGUUAAGUUACGAUAAUACCCCCAACAUAAAACACUCAUUUUAGUAUAUAUUCUGUAUUUUAUAUUAUAUUUAUUUAUUUAUUUAUUUAUUUGUUCUGUUCUAUAUUAUAUUAAAAGCAGACAAUUUUUCACAUUGAUGGGAGUGACUGUUCCAAAGGGUUGUGACUUAUUCAAUGAGUUAUGAGUUCUAUUCUAUAUUAUAUUAAAAGCAAACAAUUUUUCACAUUGAUGGGAGUGACUGUUCCAAAGGGUUGUGACUUAUUCAAUGAGUUAUGAAAUUUCCAAAAAGUUGUGAUUUUCUAAAAGGUUUUGACUUAUUUUAUAAGGCAUGAUAAGCAUUUUUCCAUAUUACUCCCUCUGUCCCUAUUUAGUUGUCCACUUUAGAAAUGGCACACAGAUUAAGGCAACAAUGAUUAGCAUAGUGAAGUUACAAUUUUACCCUUAUAGUACAAUUUGCAAUUCCAAAAUAAAUUCACUUAAGAUAACUAAUCAAUGCUAGGAAGUUCAUAAGUUUAUUUACUUUAUUUAUGACAACUUUAUUUAAAUAAGGGUAUAAUAGGAAAAAAUUUGUUGUCUUUUCUUGAUUUGUCAAAAUGGAC
RNAcentral lists this long non-coding RNA (2275 nucleotides) under Solanum tuberosum (potato). RNAcentral describes it as "long non-coding RNA (STUB_LNC011668)". Lineage: Eukaryota; Viridiplantae; Streptophyta; Magnoliopsida; Solanales; Solanaceae. The record is from RNAcentral.